GCAGGCGUGGCGGAACUGGCAGACGCGCAAGACUUAGGAUCUUGUGAGCGAUCGCUCUUGUGGGUUCGAGUCCCACCGCCUGCACCA
Molecule: transfer RNA, 87 nt
Filed under: Bacillota bacterium
Lineage: Bacteria; Bacillati; Bacillota
Description: tRNA-Leu
Rfam family: tRNA
About the family: Transfer RNA (tRNA) molecules are approximately 80 nucleotides in length. Their secondary structure includes four short double-helical elements and three loops (D, anti-codon, and T loops).
Source: RNAcentral